GGGCAAUCAGGCAUCAGAAUUCAUCGAUAUGUAACCCUGAUCGAAAAAUCCCAACCAGUGGGACUCUUGACCCCGGUACCCAUAAUGUGUGAAACUCAUGAUCAGAGAAUCCUGAUUCUUAUUCACUGAGUCCCAAAUAUGUAGGAUUCUACAUCAGCCAUCAGAUCAGAUAGGAACCUCUAAUGUGUGUGACCCCACAAGUUCGAACCUAAGCCAGUAGCACAGGAACCAAUUCCUAUACUAAUCGAAGUGACCAUCUAGCAAUGGUAUGCGACGUUCGGAU
Molecule: long non-coding RNA, 283 nt
Filed under: Elaeis guineensis (African oil palm)
Lineage: Eukaryota; Viridiplantae; Streptophyta; Magnoliopsida; Arecales; Arecaceae
Description: long non-coding RNA (EGUI_LNC056451)
Source: RNAcentral